UUAAACGAAUUCGCCCUUAGGUUUGAUCCUGGCUCAGAACGAACGCUGGCGGCGUGGCUAAGACAUGCAAGUCGAACGGACUGUUCAAUUUAUUGUUCAGUUAGUGGCGAAAGGGUUAGUAACAGGUGGGUAACGUACCCCGUGCUCCGGGAUAGCGUCAGUAGCCUUCGGGCUACUUUCCGAAAGGGGCGGUAAUACCGGAUAAUAUCAUGAGUCGAUAGGCUUAUGAUCAAAGAUUUAUCGGCGCGGGAGCGGCCUGUCUCCUAUCAGCUUGUUGGUGAGGUAACGGCUCACCAAGGCGACGACGGGUAGCGGGACUGAGAGGUUGACCCGCAACAUCGGGACUGAGACACUGCCCGGACCUCCACGGAGGGCUGCAGUAACGAAUAUUGCGCAAUGGGCGAAAGCCUGACGCAGCGACGCCGCGUGUAGGAGGAAGUCCCUCGGGAUGUAAACUACUGUCAGGGGUGAGAAAGUGCGCUUCGGCGUAUUGAUCCUACCCAGAGGAAGUCACGGCUAACUUCGUGCCAGCAGCCGCGGUAAGACGAAGGUGGCUAGCGUUGUUCGGUAUUACUGGGCUUAAAGCGUGUGUAGGCGGAGAAGUAAGCGUUUCGUGAAAGCCCCCGGCUCAACCGGGGAAUUGCGUGACGAACUGCUUUUCUUGAGGCAAGUAGGGGUGCAUGGAACUCUUGGUGGAGCGGUGGAAUGCGUAGAUAUCAAGAGGAACGCCAGUGGAGAAAUCGGUGCACUGGGCUUGUCCUGACGCUGAGACACGAAAGCGUGGGGAGCGAACGGGAUUAGAUACCCCGGUAGUCCACGCCGUAAACGAUGUCUACUAGGUUGUGGUGGUUCUGACACCAGCACAGCCGAAGCAAAAGUGCUAAGUAGACCGCCUGGGGAGUA
RNAcentral lists this ribosomal RNA (903 nucleotides) under uncultured bacterium. RNAcentral describes it as "bacterial SSU rRNA". It matches the Rfam family "Bacterial small subunit ribosomal RNA", at positions 1 to 882 of the family's 1533-position model. The record is from RNAcentral.